RNAcentral lists this long non-coding RNA (262 nucleotides) under Gossypium barbadense (sea-island cotton). Its description in RNAcentral is "long non-coding RNA (GBAR_LNC022491)". Lineage: Eukaryota; Viridiplantae; Streptophyta; Magnoliopsida; Malvales; Malvaceae. The record is from RNAcentral.
GACUACUUCAUGUGUAGGAGUGGUCACCUUGAGUGGUCCGGUAUAGACCACAAUUGCUAAUGAAUUAUGGUGCGCCUCACUUGUUACCUCUACAGCUUCCACUAGUCUAGCUUCAUCUCACUCCAGAUUAUCAUUAGUUGCAUCCACAAACUCGAAUGCAUUGAAAAUUUUCUCAACAGAUUAUUUUUCCGUAGCUUCUGUCUCAGUAUUUUCUUCAUCAGCCUUCUCAUUUACAACUUCAACACGAAUGUCAUUCUCUUCC